ACAUGGAAAAUGACAAAGUAUUUUACGUCUCGUCCGUAUUCCCUUAUGUCAUUAUGAGAGAUAUAAUUACUAAAAUGAGAGUAGGAGAGAGUGGGGGAGUGGGAGGCAGAGAAAGAGAGAGAGGGAGAGAAGAGAGAGAGAGAGAGAGAGAGAGAGAGAGAGAUAG
Molecule: long non-coding RNA, 166 nt
Organism: Vespula pensylvanica (western yellowjacket)
Lineage: Eukaryota; Metazoa; Arthropoda; Insecta; Hymenoptera; Vespidae
Exons: 2
Source: RefSeq, a predicted model, not a curated record